This 2897-nucleotide ribosomal RNA is filed under the name Shigella sonnei. Its description in RNAcentral is "bacterial LSU rRNA". It matches the Rfam family "Bacterial large subunit ribosomal RNA". The record is from RNAcentral. Lineage: Bacteria; Pseudomonadati; Pseudomonadota; Gammaproteobacteria; Enterobacterales; Enterobacteriaceae.
UUAAGCGACUAAGUGUACACGGUGGAUGCCCUGGCAGUCAGAGGCGAUGAAGGACGUGCUAAUCUGCGAUAAGCGUCGGUAAGGUGAUAUGAACCGUUAUAACCGGCGAUUUCCGAAUGGGGAAACCCAGUGUGNCACACUAUCAUUAACUGAAUCCAUAGGUUAAUGAGGCGAACCGGGGGAACUGAAACAUCUAAGUACCCCGAGGAAAAGAAAUCAACCGAGAUUCCCCCAGUAGCGGCGAGCGAACGGGGAGGAGCCCAGAGCCUGAAUCAGUGUGUGUGUUAGUGGAAGCGUCUGGAAAGGCGCGCGAUACAGGGUGACAGCCCCGUACACAAAAAUACACAUAUUGUGAGCUCGAUGAGUAGGGCGGGACACGUGGUAUCCUGUCUGAAUAUGGGGGGACCAUCCUCCAAGGCUAAAUACUCCUGACUGACCGAUAGUGAACCAGUACCGUGAGGGAAAGGCGAAAAGAACCCCGGCGAGGGGAGUGAAAAAGAACCUGAAACCGUGUACGUACAAGCAGUGGGAGCACGCUUAGGCGUGUGACUGCGUACCUUUUGUAUAAUGGGUCAGCGACUUAUAUUCUGUAGCAAGGUUAACCGAAUAGGGGAGCCGAAGGGAAACCGAGUCUUAACUGGGCGUUAAGUUGCAGGGUAUAGACCCGAAACCCGGUGAUCUAGCCAUGGGCAGGUUGAAGGUUGGGUAACACUAACUGGAGGACCGAACCGACUAAUGUUGAAAAAUUAGCGGAUGACUUGUGGCUGGGGGUGAAAGGCCAAUCAAACCGGGAGAUAGCUGGUUCUCCCCGAAAGCUAUUUAGGUAGCGCCUCGUGAAUUCAUCUCCGGGGGUAGAGCACUGUUUCGGCAAGGGGGUCAUCCCGACUUACCAACCCGAUGCAAACUGCGAAUACCGGAGAAUGUUAUCACGGGAGACACACGGCGGGUGCUAACGUCCGUCGUGAAGAGGGAAACAACCCAGACCGCCAGCUAAGGUCCCAAAGUCAUGGUUAAGUGGGAAACGAUGUGGGAAGGCCCAGACAGCCAGGAUGUUGGCUUAGAAGCAGCCAUCAUUUAAAGAAAGCGUAAUAGCUCACUGGUCGAGUCGGCCUGCGCGGAAGAUGUAACGGGGCUAAACCAUGCACCGAAGCUGCGGCAGCGACGCUUAUGCGUUGUUGGGUAGGGGAGCGUUCUGUAAGCCUGCGAAGGUGUGCUGUGAGGCAUGCUGGAGGUAUCAGAAGUGCGAAUGCUGACAUAAGUAACGAUAAAGCGGGUGAAAAGCCCGCUCGCCGGAAGACCAAGGGUUCCUGUCCAACGUUAAUCGGGGCAGGGUGAGUCGACCCCUAAGGCGAGGCCGAAAGGCGUAGUCGAUGGGAAACAGGUUAAUAUUCCUGUACUUGGUGUUACUGCGAAGGGGGGACGGAGAAGGCUAUGUUGGCCGGGCGACGGUUGUCCCGGUUUAAGCGUGUAGGCUGGUUUUCCAGGCAAAUCCGGAAAAUCAAGGCUGAGGCGUGAUGACGAGGCACUACGGUGCUGAAGCAACAAAUGCCCUGCUUCCAGGAAAAGCCUCUAAGCAUCAGGUAACAUCAAAUCGUACCCCAAACCGACACAGGUGGUCAGGUAGAGAAUACCAAGGCGCUUGAGAGAACUCGGGUGAAGGAACUAGGCAAAAUGGUGCCGUAACUUCGGGAGAAGGCACGCUGAUAUGUAGGUGAAGUCCCUUGCGGAUGGAGCUGAAAUCAGUCGAAGAUACCAGCUGGCUGCAACUGUUUAUUAAAAACACAGCACUGUGCAAACACGAAAGUGGACGUAUACGGUGUGACGCCUGCCCGGUGCCGGAAGGUUAAUUGAUGGGGUCAGCGCAAGCGAAGCUCUUGAUCGAAGCCCCGGUAAACGGCGGCCGUAACUAUAACGGUCCUAAGGUAGCGAAAUUCCUUGUCGGGUAAGUUCCGACCUGCACGAAUGGCGUAAUGAUGGCCAGGCUGUCUCCACCCGAGACUCAGUGAAAUUGAACUCGCUGUGAAGAUGCAGUGUACCCGCGGCAAGACGGAAAGACCCCGUGAACCUUUACUAUAGCUUGACACUGAACAUUGAGCCUUGAUGUGUAGGAUAGGUGGGAGGCUUUGAAGUGUGGACGCCAGUCUGCAUGGAGCCGGCCUUGAAAUACCACCCUUUAAUGUUUGAUGUUCUAACGUGGACCCGUGAUCCGGGUUGCGGACAGUGUCUGGUGGGUAGUUUGACUGGGGCGGUCUCCUCCUAAAGAGUAACGGAGGAGCACGAAGGUUGGCUAAUCCUGGUCGGACAUCAGGAGGUUAGUGCAAUGGCAUAAGCCAGCUUGACUGCGAGCGUGACGGCGCGAGCAGGUGCGAAAGCAGGUCAUAGUGAUCCGGUGGUUCUGAAUGGAAGGGCCAUCGCUCAACGGAUAAAAGGUACUCCGGGGAUAACAGGCUGAUACCGCCCAAGAGUUCAUAUCGACGGCGGUGUUUGGCACCUCGAUGUCGGCUCAUCACAUCCUGGGGCUGAAGUAGGUCCCAAGGGUAUGGCUGUUCGCCAUUUAAAGUGGUACGCGAGCUGGGUUUAGAACGUCGUGAGACAGUUCGGUCCCUAUCUGCCGUGGGCGCUGGAGAACUGAGGGGGGCUGCUCCUAGUACGAGAGGACCGGAGUGGACGCAUCACUGGUGUUCGGGUUGUCAUGCCAAUGGCACUGCCCGGUAGCUAAAUGCGGAAGAGAUAAGUGCUGAAAGCAUCUAAGCACGAAACUUGCCCCGAGAUGAGUUCUCCCUGACCCUUUAAGGGUCCUGAAGGAACGUUGAAGACGACGACGUUGAUAGGCCGGGUGUGUAAGCGCAGCGAUGCGUUGAGCUAACCGGUACUAAUGAACCGUGAGGCUUAACCUU